Molecule: ribosomal RNA, 1157 nt
Filed under: uncultured bacterium
Lineage: Bacteria
Description: bacterial SSU rRNA
Rfam family: Bacterial small subunit ribosomal RNA
Source: RNAcentral
ACUCCUACGGGAGGCAGCAGUGGGGAAUCUUCCGCAAUGGACGAAAGUCUGACGGAGCAACGCCGCGUGAGUGAAGAAGGUUUUCGGAUCGUAAAGCUCUGUUUUCAGGGACGAACGGCAGAUAUAUAAAUAAUAUAUUUGCAUGACGGUACCUGAGGAGGAAGCCACGGCUAACUACGUGCCAGCAGCCGCGGUAAUACGUAGGUGGCAAGCGUUGUCCGGAAUUAUUGGGCGUAAAGGGCGUGUAGGCGGGAUAAUAAGUCUGUUGUAAAAGUGCGGGGCUCAACCCCGUAAGGUCAAUGGAAACUGUUAUUCUUGAGUGCAGGAGAGGAAAGUGGAAUUCCCAGUGUAGCGGUGAAAUGCGUAGAUAUUGGGAGGAACACCAGUGGCGAAGGCGACUUUCUGGACUGUGUCUGACGCUGAGGCGCGAAAGCCAGGGGAGCGAACGGGAUUAGAUACCCCGGUAGUCCUGGCCGUAAACGAUGGGUACUAGGUGUAGGAGGUAUCGACCCCUUCUGUGCCGGAGUUAACGCAAUAAGUACCCCGCCUGGGGAGUACGGCCGCAAGGUGAAACUCAAAGGAAUUGACGGGGGCCCGCACAAGCGGUGGAGUAUGUGGUUUAAUUCGACGCAACGCGAAGAACCUUACCAGGGCUUGACAUUGAGUGAAAUGUUAAGAGAUUAGCACCUCCCUUCGGGGACACGAAAACAGGUGGUGCAUGGCUGUCGUCAACUCGUGUCGUGAGAUGUUGGGUUAAGUCCCGCAACGAGCGCAACCCUUAUCCUUUGUUGCCAGCGCGUAAUGGUGGGAACUCAAAGGAGACUGCCGUCGACAGGACGGAGGAAGGCGGGGAUGACGUCAAGUCAUCAUGCCCCUUAUGUCCUGGGCUACACACGUACUACAAUGGGCUUAAAUAGAGGGAAGCGAAGCCGCGAGGUGAAGCAAACCCCAAAAACAAGCUCUCAGUUCGGAUCGCAGGCUGCAACUCGCCUGCGUGAAGUCGGAAUCGCUAGUAAUCGCAGAUCAGCAUGCUGCGGUGAAUACGUUCCCGGGCCUUGUACACACCGCCCGUCACACCACGGGAGUUGGAAACACCCGAAGCCGGUGAGGUAACCUUAGGGAGCCAGCCGUCGAAGGUGGGGCCGAUGACUGGGGUG